UUGAUUGACAAGUCCGGACUCGAGUUUGGCCAAUUUCUCUAAAAUGGUGUAAAAGACUCGAGUGCCUUCGGGCUUGAGUCCGGACUCGCCCCAGCACUAGUACCCAGCAAUAGUUGUUCCUAGAGCCCUCUUGUUGUUCCCUACCCCCUUUCUCUCUCUCUCUGGAAGCUUGUUUCGUAGAGAUUUAGACCGGGGUAUGUCGCUCAGGAUCCUCUCCAUAAGAAAAUUAUUGUUAUGAAGUUACCGUGGAGUCAAUGAACUAUGAUGUUUUUAAGCGCCUGUAAGAGCUUCAUCCCCUUUCAUCAGUCACAUAAAUCUUUUGAACUGACUGGUUGGGCAAAUACUUCGGCUAUUCUUCAAUCAUGGAAUCAUUGCCCAAACUGAGCCUACUGUUGGUUUUGUGGAUUCAUUUUUGCACAAAUUGCCCCGUGAUUCUCGGUUUUCUCAAAGUCGAACUAUUCCUAUAUAUUCAGCGAAUGCUCUAACUUCAAACCAAGACCAUCUGACUUUUGUGAUACCAAAACAAACCGGCGGCAACACAAUUCAUUUGGCCAAUAUUAAAGUGGAGGUAGUAUAGUGCAAACAAUGACUUUUAAUCCUGCAUCAUUAAUGGUUUUGUUGCUUUUGGCAGGCUGGAAUUCAGCUCACAACUGCCUCUGGAAAUCCGCCCAACAACUUCGAAACUGGUGGACCUGGAAUUGUACCUAACAUUCUUCCCAGCAUGUUCAAGGAGGUCAGGUUGAUUGAAAAUGGAACCCUUUUGAAUCCUCAGUGCGACAAUUGUCAGUUUGUCACUUACUUAUCUUCUUCAUUGUCUUACGGUAACGACGCCAAAAAGACCCAAAAGUGCAUGGAGGCCUAUUACCAGGAUGAUCUCCUUGGCGUUGUGCAAUCAAAUGAUAUAAAUAACGCAGACUUUGUGGAAAGACGUCAAAUUUUUAACUAAAUCGAUUCCUCAGACAUAUAAAGCAUAUCCCUCAAUUUUUAUGGGCCAACUACAAACCGGCAUUUUUUUCAAUGAGGAAGGCAUGCUGCCUGAUGGUUGUGAUGUUACAAUCGUUUUUACCCAGACAACUAAUGAAUUUCGAGCCUUUACCUCUGACGAGACGGAUGAUAUUGUGGUGACAUUGGUCUCACUCAAGCUGCACGUAAAAAUAUCUGCCCUUAUGGUAAGCAUGGAUUUUAAUAUUUGGGUGUCGGCAAAAAGAAGGCAAUUCUUACUUUUCACGACCACAUUUUCAAUUAUUGGGAGGAAUUCCGCAAUUUUUUAUAGUGGUAGUUUGUUCUGGAGGUACUCUAAUCCUCAAAAGAUCUACUACGUCUUUUUCAUUGAAGGUAUAUGAAAGUUAGUUAAAGUUUCUCAUUUAUUAAGAUAAGGCUGUGUACCAACUAAUCUGCCAGGUGAUAACUUUGUUGGAAGGAGGACAAAAACUUCUUACAAGUUAUCCUGCAAGUGGCAGGAUGCGUCAGCUUUGACCAGUCAGAACAGACGGCAGAUGGGAAGGGGCCAAUGAGCCUACAUCAACUGCAUUCAUCAAGGGUAUUCGGAUGACUAUCAAUGGUUCGUCCAUUGUUUCAUUGACGACCAAAGGAAGCGAGGAUGAUGAUGAGAUCGCUUUUGCCCGGUGGCAAAUUUUCAACACAUUUUUAGCUUCGCCCUUUACAUCCGGGAUAAGAUAUGAAGAUUUGAUAAAUGGAUGUUACGUUUGGUGUGCGGAUAUACAUAAGUACCAGUCUCGAGAGCAAUCUUGACUAUCUAAUUCCAACAGUCUUAGAUGGUAUGAUACGGUUAGAAGUUGAGUUCUCAGCUCCACUCGGUACGUUGAUUUUACGACACACACAUACGUACGUGCACAUCCCUUCCAACAGCCAUCGCAUCUAAUCCACCUUGGUCUCUGUCAUUUUUUCUCCAGGUCAACAACACCCCAGCCUUAUCGAGAUUGGACGUGAGCGAUCCAUUUCGUUGUCUUAUCCCGUAUAAGAAGAAAACAACGACGACUAUUGACAAACGGAAAUUUAGUAAAAACACAUGAUUUACCUGGUGAUAGUGGUUUUUAUUUAAUCGAUGCGAAACAAUCAACAGUAGACCGACUAAGUACGUAAAUGUAAAAAAGAAAUAUUUGAUGUUCGGUUGGUAAAAUAAAACUUCGAAACAUUAAAUCCGGCGGUAGGUUUGAGUCCAUUGCUAAAUCAAUCAUUUUGUAAUGGGC
Molecule: long non-coding RNA, 2210 nt
Organism: Tigriopus californicus
Lineage: Eukaryota; Metazoa; Arthropoda; Copepoda; Harpacticoida; Harpacticidae
Exons: 8
Source: RefSeq, a predicted model, not a curated record